This 262-nucleotide long non-coding RNA is filed under the name Phoenix dactylifera (date palm). RNAcentral describes it as "long non-coding RNA (PDAC_LNC021185)". The record is from RNAcentral. Lineage: Eukaryota; Viridiplantae; Streptophyta; Magnoliopsida; Arecales; Arecaceae.
GGUUUUUUGCAUGGAUACCCUUCUAAAUAUCGGAUUUUGCGUGAAUACCCUUCCAAAAUUGAUAUUUGCAUGUAUACCCUCGUAAAAUACUUGUUUUGCUAUUCUAUCCGCUUUUAUUCUUAUUUUUGCAUAUAUACCCAUGCCAUCUAACGCCGUUAAAAAAUUAACGGUUUCAAAUUAAAAUGACUAAAAUACCCUUAAUGGGUAAGCGUGCAAAUAGAAAUUUUUAUAAGGGUAUGCAAGCAAAUAGUAACUUUACAAG